Molecule: long non-coding RNA, 898 nt
Organism: Dermochelys coriacea (leatherback sea turtle)
Lineage: Eukaryota; Metazoa; Chordata; Testudines; Dermochelyidae
Exons: 2
Source: RefSeq, a predicted model, not a curated record
GAGUGUGGAUGGUUGGCUGAGGGAGCUACAGGACCUUGGACAGAGCAAUGCUAGCAGAGAUGCGGGAAGGGAGCAAGAUGGUAUUCUGGGCUGGCUGCUGGGAGUCAACUGGGACAAGGCCCUGAGGUGUGUAGAUACGUAAAGACUGAAUCCUUUAAGUAAUGAAGGGAUUCAUCCAUCUUAUCCAGAGUUUCAAUCCUUUGAAGGGAAGAUCUUCAACCAUAGAUUGUACCUCUUCAGGAAAUCCUGAGACGUGAAACCAUCAUGCCCUUCGCAUGACUACAACUGGAGACGUUGAUCGGGCAGCUGUGUCGACUGUGUCUAAGAAAGCUUGUAAGGCCAUCCUAGCCAGAAGGUGACCUUUGAGAUAAUUGCCUAGAAUUGUUUUUUUCCCCCCAAAGAUGACUGAAUUUAUUGAGUCAUAUCUGAAUAGUUGGUGUAAUUAAAUUUUGCCAUCAGUGCUUCAUAAUUGGCAAUUUAAAAUUGUGGAGUCGCUGAUAAGUAGGCCUUGCACCCAAAAUGGUCUAACCAUUUCCAAUCUUUAUCAGACAGGGUACUUUAGUAUGGUGUUGCCUGCUCCACUCAUUCAUCGCCUUGACCACCAACUAAUUUGGGGAGGGAUGUGAAAAUAGAAACAUUAUGUCCUUAGAGGGGACAUAAUACUUUUUGUCUGUUCUUUUGCAGGUGGGAGGUACUGUGGCAGGUGUCUGUUAGACAGCCUUAACUGGGUCCAUCAGAGCCUCAUUUAUGGGGAGUGCAAUUUUUGAAGAGGUUGAUGUUUGGAGUAUAUCCAGUAACUUAUGUUGAGACUCUAUAACUUCUUCCAAAGAUAUUUGUAAUGAGUCUGCAAUUCUCUCAAAUAGUUCUUGGAACUGAUUAAAAUCAUUGGCUGUCAGUG